RNAcentral lists this ribosomal RNA (489 nucleotides) under uncultured bacterium. RNAcentral's name for it is "bacterial SSU rRNA". It matches the Rfam family "Bacterial small subunit ribosomal RNA", at positions 1 to 507 of the family's 1533-position model. The record is from RNAcentral.
GACGAGUUUGAUCCUGGCUCAGAAUCAACGCUGGCGGCGUGCCUCAGACAUGCAAGUCGAACGAUUAAAGCUCUCUUCGGAGAGUGCAUAGAGUGGCGCACGGGUGAGUAACACGUAAGUAAUCUACCUUCGAGUGGGGAAUAACGUCCGGAAACGGGCGCUAAUACCGCAUAAUGCAGCGGCAUCGCAAGAUGACAGUUGUUAAAGGAGCAAUCCGCUUGAAGAGGAGCUUGCGGCAGAUUAGCUAGUUGGUAGGGUAAUGGCCUACCAAGGCUACGAUCUGUAACCGGUCUUAGAGGACGGUCGGUCACACUGACACUGAAUAACGGGUCAGACUCCUACGGGAGGCAGCAGUCGGGAAUUUUGGGCAAUGGGCGAAAGCCUGACCCAGCAACGCCGCGUGAAGGAUGAAGUAUUUCGGUAUGUAAACUUCGAAAGAAUAGGAAGAAUUAAUGACGGUACUAUUUAUAAGGUCCGGCUAACUACGUG